Molecule: ribosomal RNA, 253 nt
Filed under: uncultured bacterium
Lineage: Bacteria
Description: partial 16S ribosomal RNA
Rfam family: Bacterial small subunit ribosomal RNA
Source: RNAcentral
UACAGAGGUGGCAAACGUUGUUCGGAAUUACUGGGCGUAAAGCGCGUGUAGGCGGCCCUGCAAGUCGGAUGUGAAAUCCCACGGCUCAACCGUGGAAGUGCAUUCGAAACUGCAGGGCUAGAGUCCUGGAGAGGAAGGUGGAAUGCUUGGUGUAGAGGUGAAAUUCGUAGAUAUCAAGCGGAACACCGGUGGCGAAGGCGGCCUUCUGGACAGUGACUGACGCUGAGACGCGAAAGCGUGGGGAGCAAACAGG